AAAGUCCCCGUCCCUUGUGCCCAGGGAGUCUCCUCCCGGUUCUCAAAGUCUGCAGGCCAAGGUUCCUCUCGGCCCCACCGAGCAGUCAGUCAUCUGAACUCACCAUUAAGUAAACGCACGCUUUCGCAAAGGCAGCCACUGCGGGAAGCUCUCCGCUUUCUGACUAGCGUCUGGGCUCCUGUGGGGGUUGACGUGGACGCCUCCCGUCCCAUCUGGACUGCGCCCUGCCCCUCACCGCACAGGAGGCCUUCCCGGCUCCUGGGUCAGCGAAGUCCCACCAGCACCUGGAAGUCGGCCCAGGCCGGGAAGCCGCGUCACAGAGGCUGGUAAAUGUAAAGCCCGGGCUUCCUGCCAGGAGCCAGACAUUUCCUCCGGCCGUGUGGGUACAGUGGCGCGGAGCUGGAAGCCAGAACCCCAGGGAGGAAGAGGCAGUUGUCGCAGGCCCAGGUCUGAGGACAGUGGCAGCUGCACUGUGCUGGUAGCUGUGAAGCCCCACGGUCUCCAGAGGAUUUGCCCCUGACGCAGGGUCAGUGCCGGGGGUCAGCGCGCAACCUCGGGCCUGGACGCGUCAGUGCAGGUGAUUCCUUUUCUGGACGUUCCCACCUGAGGCUGCUGAACUCACCAAUGAGAACCCAUGGACACCUAGGGUCCCUGUCACGUGUCGGUCCAGCUGGGGACGCUCGUGGUGGACGCCGUGAAGGCAGAGGGAAGGGAGCCAGGCUGGGCCAGGGUGGG
Molecule: long non-coding RNA, 735 nt
Organism: Sciurus carolinensis (gray squirrel)
Lineage: Eukaryota; Metazoa; Chordata; Mammalia; Rodentia; Sciuridae
Exons: 3
Source: RefSeq, a predicted model, not a curated record